UUUUCUGCCACCGAAUACAUUAGCAUGGGAUAAUGGAAUAGGACCCUGUCCUCCUAUCUUCAGUUGGUUAACUUGUAGAGGAUCAGGGUAAUGAUUAAUAGGGAUAGUUGGGGGCAUUAAUAUUUAAUUGUCAGAGGUGAAAUUCUUGGAUUUAUGAAAGAUUAACUUCUGCGAAAGCAUCUGCCAAGGAUGUUUUCAUUAAUCAAGAACGAAAGUUAGGGGAUCGAAGACGAUCAGAUACCGUCGUAGUCUUAACCAUAAACGAUGCCGACCAGCGAUUAGGAGACGUUGAAUACAAAACACCACCAUACAUAAUUCAGUAUAUGGCCAGUCAAAUGGUUGUAUAUUGUUUGUGUAUGGCACCGGUGAAUGACUCCCCUAGCAGCUUGUGAGAA
Molecule: ribosomal RNA, 395 nt
Filed under: Acanthamoeba sp.
Lineage: Eukaryota; Discosea; Longamoebia; Acanthamoebidae
Description: SSU rRNA
Rfam family: Eukaryotic small subunit ribosomal RNA
Source: RNAcentral